RNAcentral lists this ribosomal RNA (456 nucleotides) under bacterium Mabisi31. RNAcentral's name for it is "bacterial SSU rRNA". It matches the Rfam family "Bacterial small subunit ribosomal RNA", at positions 215 to 657 of the family's 1533-position model. The record is from RNAcentral.
UCACUUCUGGAUGAUCCCGCGGCGUAUUAGUUAGUUGGUGAGGUAAAGGCCCACCGAGACGAUGAUACUUAGCCGAUCUGAGAGGGUAAUCUCUCUUACUUGGGACUGAGACACGGCCCAAACUCCUACGGGAGGCAGCAGUAGGGAAUCUUUCACAAUGGACGAAAGUCUGAUGGAGCAAUGCCGCGCGAGUGAAGAAGGGUUUCGGCUCGUAAAACUCUGUUGUUAAAGAAGAACACCUUUGAGAGUAACUGUUCAAGGGUUGACGGUAUUUAACCCGAAAGCCACGGUUAACUACGUGCCAUCAGUCGCGGUAAUACCUAAGUGCGCAGCGUUGCCCGGAAUUUUUGGGCCUAAAGCGAGUGCACGGCGCUUUUCUCAGCCUGAUGUUGAAAUGCUUCGGCCUUACCCGUAGAAGUGCGUCCUUAAACUGGGGCACUUUGAGUGCACUAAAGG